RNAcentral lists this ribosomal RNA (274 nucleotides) under uncultured bacterium. RNAcentral's name for it is "partial 16S ribosomal RNA". It matches the Rfam family "Bacterial small subunit ribosomal RNA", at positions 523 to 796 of the family's 1533-position model. The record is from RNAcentral.
AUACGGAGGGUGCAAGCGUUGUUCGGAAUUACUGGGCGUAAAGCGCGCGUAGGUGGUCUGUUAUGUCAGAUGUGAAAGUCCACGGCUCAACCGUGGAAGUGCAUUUGAAACCGGCAGACUUGAGUACUGGAGGGGGUAGUGGAAUUCCCGGUGUAGAGGUGAAAUUCGUAGAUAUCGGGAGGAAUACCGGUGGCGAAGGCGACUACCUGGCCAGAUACUGACACUGAGGUGCGAAAGCGUGGGGAGCGAACAGGAUUAGAAACCCUAGUAGUCC